Long non-coding RNA from Heterocephalus glaber (naked mole-rat), 1101 nucleotides. The record is from Ensembl. NCBI's taxonomy places the organism in Eukaryota, Metazoa, Chordata, Mammalia, Rodentia, Bathyergidae.
GUGUCUUAGAUUGCCAUGUACAUUUUGAUUGUGACAUGCAAACAUGGAUUCUGCUUUGGAAAAUGGUUAAAUUGCAUGCAGAUUUCUGUGAAGAUUCAUAAUCCCAAAAACAAAGGAGGGGGAAUGAACAUUAUAGGACUGACUCUGCCAACACAUACUUAGAAGAAACACUUUCACAGCUGUACAGACGGGGAGAAAAGAAGUCAUGGGAUUAAGGUACUAAAUCAUCAGGCUGCCAACAUUAUCCAAAUAGUUACCAGCUUCCGUGUAUGAUGUUUUCAAAGUGGAAAAGAAGUUAUUAGAGACUGAUUCAGACCAUCAGUUACCAUUACUUUAUACAGUGUCAGUGUAAUUCAAUUUAAUCUCCCUUAACCAUUAAAAAGUUUAAGACUACAUUCCAAGGUAAUAGUUCAUUUUAAAUCUACUUUAAUAAAUUAUACAUGUAUGAAUUUGUACAUGUAUGUUCUCUAUGUAUCAUUUUAAAGUAUGUAAGAUACCUUUGAUAAUUAAACAGACAAGCCAUGUUGAUAUUAAUAAGUUUAGACAAACUGUCACUGACUUUAAUACACUAUUGACUAACAAAAGGUAGUUCAAGGCUUUAGCUUUGAGCUUGAUAAAAAUGUCAGGGUAUGUUUGAGAAAUCUGUCCUUAUUAUACUAUAAAAGUAACUAUAAUACUUCAAUAUUUUCAAAAGAAUAAAAAGUCAAUUAUUUUUCCUUUAUAAGUAAAGUUAGAAUAUCUCAUUUGAUAUUUUGACAAUCAUGAUUUUGGUUUGCCUAUAUAUUCUGGGGUGAAGAAUAAGACAAGUUGGCCAAAAUGAAAGGAGAUUUUUACCAGACUACCUUUUGGUAUUCUUCAGUAAAUUCAUAAGGAAACAUUUUCCAACACAGCAGUGUACCCAGUGCUUUAAAGUAAAAACAGUAGCCUAAACCCUUGUCUCACUUUGGUAAAAGUAGAACAUAAAUGAAUCUCCAACUUCAGAAUUACAUACUUGUUAGAAUGGAGCUUGGAUUAAAAUGUUAAAAUCAUUAACUAGAGAAGGAAAUGUCUCCAUUAGUUCAAUCUAUUAACCAAUAGUUUCACAGGAAAAUAAAAAUCUGC